CCCUCGUCCGACAAAUCGCCAUCGAAGCUUACAAACAGAGACGUCCUUCUUUGAAAGGCGUCUCGGUCCUUUUGGACCAAGAACCAAGCUUUGGGAGAAAGUCCCCGGACACACGUUGUUCUACCCUCGGGUGGAAUAGAAACGCCGCGGAAACGCGCCGCCAUAGAAGCACAGCGGCUGACCUCCAAGACCUGCGUCCGGACACAAUGGCCUCUCUUCUCGCCCCGCCUCGUCGCUACAUCGUUGGUUGUUGGCUCUGCUCGAACCCCUAGUUUUUUGAUCUUGGGACCCUUUGGACGAAGAUAUGAGUCCGCGCCUGGGAUCGGGAGACUUGGUGUUUGGGUAGUGCUGGUGCCAUUGAUGACAGGAUGGCCGCGAGGGAGAGGCUGCUUGCCGGGCGAACUCAAGGGUUCGUCGGAGGAGUUUUUCGUCUAGAUCGAUAGGUAUGCGAUUGCCCGUCCUCCCGGUUCGCCGGGUUGGGCGUGUUACUCGAUGGGGCUUAUUCUUGGUGCGAGG
Molecule: RNase MRP RNA, 516 nt
Filed under: Colletotrichum higginsianum
Lineage: Eukaryota; Fungi; Ascomycota; Sordariomycetes; Glomerellales; Glomerellaceae
Also listed under: 1 other name
Description: rNase MRP
Rfam family: RNase MRP
About the family: RNase MRP is an enzymatically active ribonucleoprotein with two distinct roles in eukaryotes.
Source: Rfam by way of RNAcentral